UCUGCCUACGGGACGCAGCAGUAGGGAAUCUUCCACAAUGGGCGAAAGCCUGAUGGAGCGACGCCGCGUGUGUGAUGAAGGCUUUCGGGUCGUAAAGCACUGUUGUAUGGGAAGAACAGCUAGAAUAGGAAAUGAUUUUAGUUUGACGGUACCAUACCAGAAAGGGACGGCUAAAUACGUGCCAGCAGCCGCGGUAAUACGUAUGUCCCGAGCGUUAUCCGGAUUUAUUGGGCGUAAAGCGAGCGCAGACGGUUUAUAAAGUCUGAUGUUAA
This 272-nucleotide ribosomal RNA is filed under the name uncultured bacterium. RNAcentral's name for it is "partial 16S ribosomal RNA". It matches the Rfam family "Bacterial small subunit ribosomal RNA", at positions 334 to 598 of the family's 1533-position model. The record is from RNAcentral.